RNAcentral lists this unclassified non-coding RNA (240 nucleotides) under uncultured Phanerochaetaceae. RNAcentral describes it as "sequence contains ITS1". Lineage: Eukaryota; Fungi; Basidiomycota; Agaricomycetes; Polyporales; Phanerochaetaceae. The record is from RNAcentral.
ACGAGUAAAUUGAACGGGUUGUAAGCUGACUUUCUCUUCUCAAGAGGGGAAGGUAUGUGCACGCCUGGCUCAUCCACUCUUCAACCCCUGUGCACUUAUUGUAGGUUUUGGUGGAAGGGCAUAUAAGUCCUAAUAUUUUUUUAUUAGACUUUAGCUUGGAAACCUUUCCUAUGUCUUUUUACAAACGCUUCAGUUAUAAGAAUGUUAUGUCUGCGUGUGUAGCGCAUAUGUUAUUAUAUA